AAGAUGUUAGUAAAACAUUACAUAACUUUGUCAAGGUUAAAUUACAGGUGAAAAUCCCGUACAUCUUA
RNAcentral lists this transfer RNA (68 nucleotides) under Procapra przewalskii (Przewalski's gazelle). RNAcentral's name for it is "tRNA-Asp". It matches the Rfam family "tRNA". From Rfam's summary of the family: Transfer RNA (tRNA) molecules are approximately 80 nucleotides in length. Their secondary structure includes four short double-helical elements and three loops (D, anti-codon, and T loops). Further hydrogen bonds mediate the characteristic L-shaped molecular structure. tRNAs have two regions of fundamental functional importance: the anti-codon, which is responsible for specific mRNA codon recognition, and the 3' end, to which the tRNAs corresponding amino acid is attached (by aminoacyl-tRNA synthetases). tRNAs cope with the degeneracy of the genetic code in two manners: having more than one tRNA (with a specific anti-codon) for a particular amino acid; and 'wobble' base-pairing, i.e. permitting non-standard base-pairing at the 3rd anti-codon position. Lineage: Eukaryota; Metazoa; Chordata; Mammalia; Artiodactyla; Bovidae. RNAcentral also lists the same sequence under 1 other name. The record is from RNAcentral.